GGGGGUGUAACUCAAGUGGUAGAGUGCUCGCUUCGCAUGCGAGAAGUACUGGGAUCGAUGCCCAGCUCCUCCA
Molecule: transfer RNA, 73 nt
Filed under: Coemansia sp. RSA 552
Lineage: Eukaryota; Fungi; Kickxellomycota; Kickxellomycetes; Kickxellales; Kickxellaceae
Description: tRNA-Ala
Rfam family: tRNA
About the family: Transfer RNA (tRNA) molecules are approximately 80 nucleotides in length. Their secondary structure includes four short double-helical elements and three loops (D, anti-codon, and T loops).
Source: RNAcentral